Molecule: long non-coding RNA, 1857 nt
Filed under: Gallus gallus (chicken)
Lineage: Eukaryota; Metazoa; Chordata; Aves; Galliformes; Phasianidae
Description: lncRNA (ENSGALG00010006535.1)
Source: RNAcentral
GAUGUCCCAAGCAGGCUCAUAAAAUGACAGAGUACGUUUUGAAUUGUUUGUAUCAAUGUGCAUGAGAUGUUACAUCUUGGAAAACAUUCAGUGCCUUGAGUCUAUGGACAGGACCUGCGGAGAGACCUACUACAGACCUACCACAGGCUCACUUGAGCUUGGAGUGAUCUGUGUGUGGUCAGCUGUAUCCUCAGUUAUGUGAGACCUACUUGUUCUGGGUGUACACAGAGAGACAGCAGUCAGACCCAGGGUGUCUGUCAAGGUGGACGGCAUCACAAGUAACCGACAGCGGUCACCCCAGGGAUGAAUAUGGAUAUCUGUGGAUGUACAGCUAUAGGCUUCUGCACCCUAAGCACUGCAGUUAGCCAAGAACAUCAUGCUUUACAGAUCUGAGCACCUUGGGCAGAAAUUCUCCUUUAUGUGCCAGAAGUCAUGAAACCAAAGGCAGAAAUCAGCAAGAGGAGACCAGGCACCUCAGGCUGUUUGCCGCGUUAAUCUUCAGAACCCAUUAAGACCCAGGAGUAUGUUUACAAGACUUUCAAGUUUCCCAGCCCUGUGAGAAGGAUUGGGAAACACAUGGGCCCAGCACGUUCAGCCCUAAACCACGCACCCCGAGGUGCUGAGUUGUCUUACCGUAGAAGCCUGAGAGGCAUUCUGCCAUUAAAAAAAUGUUCAGAAAGAGGAAAAAUAUGGGAAAAAGGAAAAAGUGAGGAAGAGAAGAUGGGAAUGAGAAAGGAAGGAAGAAAGGAAGGAAUCACAGAAUCACAGAAUGGCCUGGGUUGAAAGGGACCUCAAGGAUCAUGAAUCUCCAAACCCCCUGCCGGGCAGGGCCACCAACCUCCCUAUUUACUAGAUCAGGUUGCCCAGGGCCUCAUCCAACCCGGCCUUGAACACCUCCAGGGACGGGGCAUCCACAACCUCUCUGGGCAGCCCAUUCCAGCACCUCACCACUCUCCUGGUAAAGAACUUCCCCCUAACAUCCAACCUAAAUCUUCCCUCUUUCAACUUAAAACCGUUCCCCCUUGUCCUGCUGUUGAAGGAAAGGAGGAAGGAACAGAAGAACACAUAUGGACAAAAUUCAUGUCUCAUAUGCUGAAAACUAUUUGGCUCAUACUGUCAUUUUCAAACAAGAACUCUUAAAUUUUAUUGUACAUAACGAUGUCUUCCUGCAAAGCUCCAAAAGUAAUUGCUAGGCAUCACAGGUAUCAUUUACAAAGCAUGUGCAAUGAUCUGCAACAUCUACUUAGUCUGCAGCAUUCAAAAGUCAAACUCCUUGUUAAGUUGGAUGCUGAAUUGAAGGUCCCAUGAUUGCAAUUUAAUCUCUCUUCGUUGAUAGUCUACUUUGCUUCCCAUAAGUGAACUGGUCUCCAACUUCUACAUUGAAAGGCUAACAGAAACUUGUUCAAAUUUUGUUUGUUUCUCUGAAAGAUAAGUACUGUUUCUAGUAGGAUUUGUGCACCUGAGCACUGGAUACAAUCCAGGUUUGGAAAUCUAUGUUUAAUGGGGUCUUUUUAGAUUUAGAUUUUUUUCAUUUGGAAUCAGAACUAUAGAAGAUGUUCUGCAAAACAUUUCAAAAUCAUUGUUUGUACUCUGAAAAAUAUGCAAUUUUACUUCCUUUAUUUCAGUAUUCUUUGGUUAUAUUUACUCAGUUCAUGAAGUCAUAGCAUGGCAUAUCAUAAUUUCUGUUAAUUUAAAGAUAAAUGAGAUCUGUACUCACACUGAUUUUAUUUGCACAUCUUUUCUAGAUUAGAAUCUCCUGUUUAUCCUAUAGUGAAGUGGCUUACAAAAAAUCCAGUAUCAUUUAGAGAUGAAGGCAAAUAGUAUACAAAUUAGGACCAUAUUUUCAGUAUCAUUUUG